AUGGCCCUACUGGUCCAACAAUGGCUGUCUCCUCAUGGGAAGUCCAAGGAUCCAGAAGUUGUUCAGUCUACAAGACUGACUUUCAGUGUAUCUGGAUUUUCAGUGUACGCCAGAAUUCCAGAGAGGUGGGCUCUAAUGUCAGUGAAGGAAUGAACUUGCUAACAAGACCAAGCAGGCAAAGAGCAAAAUAUUCCUUCCUCCUCGUGCUUUAGAUAGGCUGCCAAGAAAAUAUGUGACCCAAAUCAAAGGAGGGUCUUCUGACCUCAAGUGAAAUGGAUUUAAGAGAUCCAUGCUUUGAUUUCUCUGCAACCUUUCCUAAAAGCUCAAGAAGCUAUGAGGGAAAACGUUGAGAAGAUUAGACUGACUCCAUGACAGGCUUCAAAUCGGCAGUUCAGGAGACCAGAUCUAAAUCUCUAUUUCCAAGAACUGGGCAAGUCCAGGCAAGUCUAGGCUUCAGAAGCUGCCCCAACAUCUGGCCCGAGGAAAGGACAAUGGGUCAGCCACAGUUUCCAGACCUCCUCAGCAACAGUUUUCCGUCCUCAUGCCCCAGUAAUGGAAUGUCUGUAGAGAUGGACCCAACAGAUUAAGAGAGAGGUCACCUGCCCUGGAAUUCCCUAAAGUGCUUGACAUCAGGCCCCUGAGCUCACUUGGUUGUCUCUCUAUCUUGGUGAUGGGAGACUCCAGCAUGCUGGACUUCUGCAGAAUAAAGCACUGUGUUUACAUUC
Molecule: non-coding RNA, 725 nt
Organism: Rattus norvegicus (Norway rat)
Lineage: Eukaryota; Metazoa; Chordata; Mammalia; Rodentia; Muridae
Source: RefSeq, a predicted model, not a curated record